AGAAAAGCACUUGAAUUAAUCAAAUUAUUGUAAGAAUCGAUUCUUAAAAGUGAAGUAUUUUCCAAAAUCCAAAGUUCAACAACCAACAAUCCAAAUUUGAAAAUUAACAAAGAGUCCUACCCCAAAAAUGAGGUUUUUGGUCCUAUUUAUAAUAAAAGAAUCCUAAACAUAAAGGGAAACCUAAAUAUGGAAAUAUGUCCAAAAAUGUGUCUAACGUCAAUGACCUUACCGACGGAGCGUCGAGGCAGCGACGGAUCUUCAACACCUCCGUCGGUCCAUACUUUAACUAUAUUUUUAGCUGCUUUCUUAUCCAAGUGUCUGUUACCAUCAACAGACCAAGACGACGAUCCGUUGAUAUGACGAUGGGCCAUCGAUGGCCUUCGUUGCCCCACACUUAGAAUCUUUUCAAAUCAGGUACUGGGGCUGCAUGUUGUUAACACCAACGGAUCACCAGGACAGACCGUCAUGCCUUUCAUAGACCCACACUUAGUAGGAAUCCCCCGAUCUUUCCUUGGCAGCAUAACAUCUUCAUGGCGACGGUUGCCACCUACGGACCGUCGAUGGGUCGUUGGACCGUUGAUGGCUCCGUAGGUCAUCUUUUAUGUAAUUUUCAGCACAUCUUCAGCGUUUUCAUUCUGGACAGUUUGUCCUGCAAAAACAAAGAAAAAUUUAUUAAAACUACUUCAAAGAGGCCUUGAACACACACUAAACUUAAGGAAAAAGCAUUGGAAGUACCGUGAAACCACGGUACAUCAACACCCUCAACUUAAAUUCGUUGUUUAUCCUCAAGCGACAAACUAUGACUCACCACAAAAACCUUUGUAUAAAAGUAUCACUAUUUUAUCUUUCACAAUCAUCUGGCUAGCAAUUUCGAUUAUUUUCAUUAUGUUCAUGCAUGAUAUUACUAUUAGGCUAACUUAUGUGGAUCAGACCAUGACACAGACUAAUGAUGCACCGACUCCUCUUUUAUCUCUCACGAAGGUGCCAACUCUGCAGUAUUGCAACUAGUGCCUUUCUUUAAAAGCAAUAUCCUCCUUUUCACACAUGAUUUCAAUUUGAGUAUAAGUAUUAUUUUUUUCAACACUCACUCUCAAAAUAACUUAUCACCUCAUUGGUACUUUGUCAUCAUAUGCUUGCCCUUUUUUCACUGCUUUAAGUUCACCAUAUUAGACUCUCCUGAUCACAAUAGAACUUUCUUAGCUUAUAAUAUAGGCUCAGGGUCAGGUAGGGUACAAUUGGAUGCAUUUUAGUGAAUUUUUUCCCUCCAUGAUAUAACGGCUAAGCGUCCUACCUUUACGUUGUUUAUUCCGCCCUAUUCUUAAUUUUCUUAUAUUCUUUUGCCUUGCUUUUCUCCUUUCUUUCUCCUUUUGAGUAAAUGACUCUUCUUUUUAAUUUUUUUUUAAUUUUCAAAUUUUUCACUUGAUUUCAACUUUGGUUGAUUCACUUUUCUUUUCUUCUUUAUCUCUCUUUAUUCUUUCAACCCCACUUUCUGGAGCAUUUCUCAUAAUAGUCACCCUCAACUCAUGGCUUUAUCAUGAGUCAAGGUACACAAUACCGAAGGUUGGGUCAUGUCCAAGACGUGGUUGUUUUAUGCAUUAGCCAUCCUCCACAUAUGCUUUUGGCAUAAGCUGAGGUACACAUGACCAAGGAGAGACAAGGGCCCACACAUUAUUCCCAAAAAAGAUGAAUUUAGGUAGAAAAGAAAGGUCCAUCUUAAGCUCAAAUCAUUUGGAUCAAGAAGGGAAUAAUUUCAUUUGGUUUUCUUUUAUCUAGGCUAAAGAUUUGUUGUCUUUGAACAAAGGUGUAUGAUCCUUUUCCUAUUGUCUAUCACAUAUUACUUUUAGCAGGACUAACCGCGCAACUUCUAGCUCAGUAUCAAUGGUGGAAUACUCAAAUUUCCUCACUCACUGAAAACCUCAUUACCCUACCAGAUUAUCAGACACCUAGUUCUAGCUGAAGAUUGAGGGUCAUGUAGGGGUAUAUCUCUAUGUCAUGCUUAGAGCCACACAUUCAUCAUUCACUAUGUCUAAUCAUGCAAGCAUUUUCUUUAAAUUAGGAUAUCAUUUUAUUUAUUCAUCAUGCUUCAGAUUUCAUAUCAAUACUAUGUACAAGAUACUAAUGUGUCGGUUCCACAGUAAAGUAAAUAGUCUCUUGGAGAAAAAGAACAUAGGCAAGAAAACUCCAAGAGAGUAUAUUGCAUUGGGCUAUUCAGACUUCACCCUAGCACUAACUUUCCAUUUAUCCCACCCCCAACAAAAGAGCGUGCAAUUGUCCCCGAUGCAUAAAAAAUAUAAAACUGAAUGGUAGAUGAAGUAAACCUGAGGUGCAAAGCACCGAUGAUCAACAAGGUGGGGGGUCCGAUUUCUCGCAAUCUGCUCCCUCUGUAGUAGGGACACCGUCAGUAAUGUCUGCAACAAUAACAACAACCUCAAUAGUGAUCCUCUCAACAUCAGCAAUCCUGGAGCUAGAUGCCCCAGCAGCCAGCGCUUGAGCCCUCAUCUGUCAGGCCUCCUCAUUAAUCAACGAGGCUCUUCUCGCAGCCUCCAACUCAAGAUAUUCUCUCUUUCUAGCUCGAGUCUCAUCAUCCUCUCUAGAUCGGUGCCUCUUGGUGUCACGACCCAAAUAGGAUCGCGACUGGCACCCACACUUACCCUCCUAUGUGAGUGAACCAACCAAUCUAAACCUUAACAUUUCAAUGUAAUAACAACAGAAAGUAAUGCGGAAGACUUAAACUCAUUAAUAAAAACCAAUUCAAUAACUAUCAAUAUUCAACAUCUAUUAUUCCCAAAACCUGGAAGUCAUCAUCACAAGAACAUCUACUUUAAACUACUAAUUCUAAGAGUUUCUAAGAAGCUAAAAAUACAUAAGAAGCUAGUCAAUGCCGGAAGUUCAAGGCAUCAAGAUAUGAAGGAGAAGAUCCAGUCCAAGCUAGAAGCGUUAGCUCACCCUGAAGAUCCGGUGUGACGAAGACUGGCUUGAGUUACUGUUGAGUCGAAGAUGACGGCACGUUUGCUGCACUCCACAAAUAACAAGAAGAAAAACAUAAAAGUAGGGGUCAGUACAAAACACGGGUACUGAGUAGAUAUCAUCGGCCAACUCAAAAUAUGGAACAGUAUAUAUCAAAUAUUAUCGUAAAUCAACUAUAAAACUCAACAUGUAGCAACAACAAGUACUAUAAUCAUCAAUAAGUACCAUCAAGUUCAUCCAUGAGGGCUCAAGUCUCAAUACCAUACUCAUUUGGGAAUUAAGUUUAUUAAGUUGAGUAUAUUAUCAUCUUUCAAGAUUCAUUAUCUUUCUUCCUCUCGUGUAGGUACGUGAUACUCCGAUCCCCUACUGCUAUGUGUCGGUACGUGACACUCUGAUCCCCUAAUUCUACGUGUCGGUUCAUGACACCCGAUCCCCUAUAUGUGUCGGUACGUGACACUCCGAUCCCCUAUAUGUGUCGGUACGUGACACUCCGAUCCCCUAUAUGUGUCAGUACGCGACACUCCGAUCCCCUAAUUCUACGUGUCGGAACGUGACACUCCGAUCCACUAAUACUAUGUGUCGGAACGUGACACUCCGAUCCACUAAUACUAUAUGUCGGAACGUGACACUCCGAUCCCCUAUAUGUGUCGGUACGUGACACUCCGAUCCCCUAAUUCUACGUGUCGGAACGUGACACUCCGAUCCACUAAUACUAUGUGUCGGAACGUGACACUCUGAUCCACUAAUACUAUGUGUCGGAACGUGACACUCCGAUCCACUAAUACUAUGUGUCGGAACGUGACACUACGAUCCACUAAUUUCAUUCUGUAAAUCAUCAAGCCUUCUCUAUACCAAGGCAUCAUCAAUCACAUUACUUUAAUUCAUCAAGCCUUCUUCUAUGCCAAGGCCUCAUAAUUAAUAAUGUAUAUUAAAGUUUCUUUUCAAGAUUUGGGAUUCAAUAUUUUCAUCAUGCUUAUCUUAUCACAAUCACAUAAUCAUAUUCAUGCAAACAUACCAUUAAGCAUAUAGUAGGGUUUACAAUACUACCAAUACAUAUCAUUCACUAUUAAGAGUUUACUUAUGAAAGCAUGAAACCAUAACAUACCUCCACCAAAAAAUUGAAAUCAAGCAAGUUAAUCCUCAAAGCUUUGUUUCUCCCUUCUCGUUUGAUUCUCUCUCUCUCUCAACUUUCUCUCUCUUUCUCUUGUUCUUUCUAUUUUCUUUAUUCAAACCAUCUUUCUUUUACCCUAAUUAGUAUAUAAUUAAGAAUAAAAGAUGGCAAUAAUACCCCACUAAUUAACUUAAGGUUAACUCUUUUAACCCCCAAGUAAUUAGACUUAUAAUCCUUAACCCUCUAACUUUAUAAUUAAGGCAAGAAUAGUCAAAAAUGUCCCUUAAAACGUAUCAAGAAAACCGACCCAGACUGGGAUUGCGCAAGCUGUGACGGGCCGUCGUGCCUGCGACGGUCCGUCCUGCAGGUCGUCGCAAGGGUCAGAGAGUCAAUUUCCACUGAACAAUCUAUGACGGUCCGUCACGCCUGUGACGGUCCGUCCUGCCAUUCCGUCACGAAGUUCAGAGAGACAAUUUUUAGUACACAAUUUCAGAUUUUCUAAGUGUUUUGAAACGAGACCCUGCGACGGUCCGUCGUGCCCAUGACGGUCCGUCGUUGGGUUCGUCGCCUCAGCCUGUUUUUCCAGAAAUAAAAUCUGCUGCACAAAUGAAUCGUUCGCUCAGACUGACCAUCGGUCUGAGGAUGGAAUGCAGUACUAAGGUCCAACCUAGUACCCAAUUCCGCAUGCAAUGUUUUCCAAAACUUAGAAGUAAACUGCGUACCUCUAUCUGAUAUGAUGGAUAGUGGAACCCCAUGCAAUCGCACCACUUUCGAGAUGUAAAGUUUGGCUAACUUUUCUGCAUUGUAAGUCACCUUGACCGGAAUGAAAUGAGCAUAUUUAGUUAACCUAUCAACAAUCACCCAAAUGGAGUCAUACUUACCCAUUGUCUUCGGAAGACCAACCACAAAAUCCAUUGCAAUUCUUUCCCACUUCCAUUCCGUAAUGGGCAUUCUCUGAAGCGUUCCUCCGGGCCUUUGGUGUUCAUACUUUACUUGUUGACAGUUUGGACACUUGGCAAUAAAGUCAACAAUAUCACGCUUCAUUCUGCUCCACCAAAAGUGUUGUUUUAGGUCACGAUACAUCUUGGUUGCACCCGGAUGUAUAGAAUACCUUGAACUAUGAGCCUCUAUCAAAAUAGUGUUGAUCAAAUCAUCGACGCGGGGUACACAUACCCUUCCCUUGAUCCUCAAAACACCUUCCUCAUCGAUUUGUGCUUCCUUAGCCUCCCCUCGCAACACUUUAUCUUGGAUUCGCCUUAGUUUCUCAUCAUCAAACUGUUUUCCCUUAAUUUUGUCAAGAAAAGAAGAUCUUGACUCCACACUAGCCAACAAUCCUCCCUUCUCAUUUACUUCUAAUCUCAUCAAGCCAUUAUCUAGAGUCUGAACCUCUCUAGCCAAUGGGCGUCUAGAAGCUUGCAAGUGAGCUAGACUUCCCAUGCUUCCUGCCUUUCUACUUAAACCAUCUGCUACAACAUUCGCUUUUUCCGGAUGAUACAAGAUAGUGAUAUCGUAGUCCUUUAGUAGCUCCAUCCAUCUCCGUUGCCUCAAGUUCAAAUCCUUCUGAGUAAAGACAUACUGAAGGCUACGAUGAUCCGUGUAGACCUCACACUUAACCCCAUAUAAAUAGUGUCUCCAUUGUUUUAAUGCAAACACUACCGCAGUCAAUUCCAAAUCAUGAGUUGGAUAGUUACGUUCAUGCACUUUUAAUUGUCUUGAAGCAUAAGCAAUCACAUUCUUCUCUUGCAUUAGCACUGCACCCAAACCCGAAUAGGAUGCAUCACAAUAAACAAUGAAGUUCUUACCCUCUACUGGCAAGGUAAGGAUAGGUGCAGUAGUCAACAAGGUCUUGAGCUUCUGAAAGCUUUCCUCACAUUCGUCCGACCAUACAAAUGGAACAUUCUGCUUAGUCAAGUUCGUCAAUUGGGAAGCAAUAGAAGAGAAUCCCUUGAUAAAUCGACGGUAGUAGCUAGCUAACCCAACAAAGCUCCUUAUUUCUGACACAUUAGUAGGUCUUACCCAAUUCUUCACUCUCUCAAUCUUAGAAGGAUCCACCAUCACUCCAUCCUUAGAAACCACGUGCCCCAAGAAGGACACUGCAUCUAGCCAAAACUCACACUUAGAGAACUUGGCAUAAAGCUUUUUCUCCCUCAAUAUUUCCAAUACCAUUCUCAAAUGCUCUUCAUGUUCCUUCUUGCUCUUUGAGUAUACCAAUAUAUCAUCAAUAAAUACGAUCACGAAGAGGUCCAAAUAUGGCUUAAAACUCCCGUUCAUCAAGCUCAUGAACGCAGUAGGGGCAUUUGUAAGACCAAAAGACAUAACUACAAAUUCGUAAUGCCCAUACCUCAUUCGAAAAGCAGUCUUUGGCACAUCCAUUGCCCGUAUUUUCAAUUGAUGAUAACCGGAUCUCAAGUCAAUCUUAGAGAAGACACAAGCACCUUGUAACUGAUCGAACAAAGCAUCAAUGCGGGGAAGAGGAUACUUGUUCUUUAUGGUUACCUUGUUUAGUUGUCUGUAGUCUAUACACAUUCGAAAACUCCCAUCCUUCUUCUUUACAAACAAAACCGGAGCACCCCAAGGAGAUGCACUUGGUCUAAUAAAGCCUUUGUUUAACAACUCUUGAAGUUGGGCUUUUAACUCUCUUAACUCCGCGGGAGCCAUUCUAUAAGGGGGUAUAGAAAUGGGGCGAGUACUCGGUUCAAGAUCGAUACAGAAGUCAAUAUCCCUAUCUGGUGGCAUACCAGGAAGAUCUGCAGGGAACACAUCCAGAAACUCACGGACCACCGAAACCGACUCAAUCGAGGGUACUUGGGUAGUGUAAUCCUUGAGAUGUGCCAAGAAAGCUAAACACCCUUUACUAACCAUUUUCUUAGAACGAAGAAAGGAGAUGAUACGCACCGGAUUGGAAGUGUAGUCACCCUCCCACACUAACGGAUCUGUCCCAGGCUUGGCUAACGUCACCGUUUUAGCAUUACAAUCCAAGAUCGCAAAUUGUGGAGAAAGCCAAGUCAUACCCAGAAUUACAUCAAAAUCAUCCAUUUCUAAGAUAACCAAAUCUACAUAAGUGUUGCUCCCCACAAAGUUCACCAAACAAGACCUAUAUACCCUUUCAACUAUCACAGACUCACCCACCGGAGUAGAAACACGAAUAGGUAUGUCAAGCAAUUCACAAUGUAAAUUAAGACCAUUAGCAAAUGCGGAAGAUACAUAAGAAAAUGUGGAUCCGGGAUCAAAUCAUACAGAAGCCAUGCAAUCACAAACCAAAAGAUUACCUGUGAUGACAGCAUCAAAUGCCUCCGCUUCAGACCGCCCAGGGAAAGCGUAACAAUGGGCCCUAUCGUUCGUCUGUCUGUUGCCCCUACCAUGUUGUGAUGUAGUGGCUCCAGUUUGCCCAUCACCUCGGCCGUUUUGGUGACCACCAUUUCCUCGACCACCACGCCCUCCAGAAAAACGGCCUCUACCAUGACCACCUCUACCUCUAGCUAUUGGGGGUCUGUAACUCUGUUUUGGACAAUUUCUCCUAAUAUGUACAGUCUCCCCACAUCCGUAACACUCUCUGGAGUCAAGCAUAGGUCUCUCGGAGGAGUGUUGACCGGUCUGAGGUGGUCCCCCAACUACAGUUUGUAGUGAAGAAUGAAUUGGUCGGACUGAGUAACUUCCCGAACCCUGUCCUCUAGUGUAAGCACCAUUAAACUCACCUCCCUUUCGAAACCUUUUUGAUGUCGAUGUCGUAGUGAAGUCGUCUGGCUUCACUCCUUCCACUUCUAUCACAAUGUCUACCACCUCUUGGAAGGAUUUUGCCGUUGCCGCUAUCUGUAAGGCCGAAAUCCGCAAUUCUGACCUCAACCCCUUCAUAAACCGGCGAAUUCGCUCUUGUGGACUGAAACACAGUAGGGUGGCAUACCGGGAUAAUGCACGAAACUUAGCCUCAUAUGCAUUGACCGACAUCCUACCUUGCUCUAGGCUCAAGAACUCAUCCCUUUUCCUAUCCCUCAAAGUUCGGGGGAUAUACUUCUCCAUAAACAAGCUAGAGAAUGAGGCCCAAGUCAUAGGUGGUGCCUCUGUUGGUUGACACUCAAUAUGUGACUGCCACCACAUUUUGGCGUUCCCUUGAAACUGAUAAGUCACAAACUCCACACCUAACCGUUCUACUAUACCCAUCUUGUGUAGUAGCUCGUGACAGUCAACCAGAAAAUCAUAAGCAUCCUCCGAUUCAGCACCCUUGAAGACCGGAGGUUUCAAUUUCAAGAACUUACUGAAAAGUUCAUGCUGAUCAUUUGUCAUUAUAGGCCCAGUAGUCAGACGUGGAAAUGUGCCUAUGUCCAAUGAGGCCUCCAUACGAUGAGCCAUAGUGGCUGCAUGUUGUACUUCUUAAACUGGAGGUUUUGGCGCAGAAAACACUGGAGGUGCCUGACCUUGAUCAGACAACCCACUGAGAUAAGCGAGCACUUGAUUUAUCAUCUCUGGGGUAGGCUGGGGUGGCAAUACCUCAUUCUGCACUUGUUCAAUUUCCCCAUCCUCCCCUUCUCUUAUUACUUCCUCAGUCGGUGGAGGAGUCACUGCCCUAGUAUCAGAUGGGCUAGGUGCUCGUCCUCUUCCCCUAGAGGACGUCCUCCCACGACCUCUACCACGGCCUCUUGCCGCUGCUCUUCCUCGAGCUAUAGCCCCAGUGCCUGGCUCAGACGCACCCUGUUCCGCCGGUGCUGGUGUUGGUGUUGGCGUAGUCGUUGCUCUAGUUCUAACCAUCUGCGAAAGAGAGUGAAGAUGGUCAGAUACCAAUUCGUAUCGCCUAGAUACCAAUUGGACUCAAUUAGUAGCACGAAAGAAAGAAUGAAAGAGUGAAAUUUUACCUAAAAUCUUAUAGCCUCUCAAGGAAAAGUAAAGGCGUCCCCCUACCGUUCCUUAAGACUCUACUAGACCUGUUCUUGUGUGAUGAGACCAACGAACCUAAUGCUCUGAUACCAAGUUUGUCACGACCCAAAUCCGAGCCGCAACUGGCACCCACACUUACCCUCCUAUGUGAGUGAACCAACCAAUCUAACCUUAACAUUUCAAUAUAAUAUCAACAGAAAGUAAUGCGGAAGACUUAAACUCAUUAAAUAAAGACCAAUUCAUUAACUUCUAAAAUUCAACAUCUAUUAUUCCCCAAAAUCUGGAAGUCAUCACCACAAGAACAUCUACUUUAAACUACUAAUUCUAAGAGUGUCUAAGAAGCUAAAAAUACAUAAGAAGCUAGUCCAUGCCGGAAGUUCAAGGCAUCAAGACUUGAAGAAGAAGAUCCAGUCCAAGCUAGAAGCAUUAGCUCACCAUGAAUUUCCGAUGUAGUAAGACUGGCUUGAAUUACUGUUGAGUUGAAGACGAUGGCACGUUUGCUACACUCCACAAAUAAACAAGAAGAGAACAUAAAAGUAGGGGUCAGUACAAAACACGGGUACAGAGUAGAUAUCAUCGGCCAACUCAAAAUAGAAAUCAAUAUAUACCGAGUAAUAUCAUAAAAUCAACUAUGAUACUCAACAUGUAGCAACAACAAAUACUAUAUCAUUAACAAUUACCGUCAAGUUCACACAUGAGGACUCAAGCCUCGAUACCAUACUCAUUUGGGAAUCAUGUUCAUUAGAUUGAGUAUAUUAACAUCUUUCAAGAUUCAUUAUCUUUAUUUCUCUUGUGUCGGUACGUGACACUCCGCUCCCUCAAUAUUCAUUAAUCCUCUUGUGUCAGUACGUGACACUCCGAUCCCCUAAAUCUAUGUGUCGGUUCGUGACACCCGAUCCCCUAAUACUACGUGUCGGUUCGUGACACCCGAUCCCCUAAUUCUACGUGUCGGUUCGUGACACCCGAUCCCCUAAUACUAUGUGUCGGUUCGUGACACCCGAUCCCCUAAUUCUACGUGUCAGUUCGUGACACCCGAUCCCCUAAUCUCCUUCCAUCAAUUCAUCAAGCCUUCUUUCUUACCAAGGCAUCAUCAAUCCCAUUAUUUUAGUUCAUCACGCCUUCUUUUAUACCAAGGCCUCAUUAUUAACAAGGAGAUUAAGAUUUUGCAAGAUUUGGGAUUCAAUAACUUCAUCAUGCUUAUAUAAUCACAAUUAUAUAAUUACAUUCAUGCAAGCAUACAAUUAAGCACAUAGCAGGGUUUACAAUAUUAUCAAUACAUAUCAUUCUCUAUUAAGAUUUUACUACGAAUAUCGUAAGAGAAACCAUAACCUACCUCCACCGAAGAAUUGAAAUCAAGCAAGUUAAUCCUCAAAGCUUGGUGCUCUCCUCUUCUCUCGAUCGUUUCUCCCUCUCCCUUCUUGUUCUUUCUGUUUUCUUAUUCAAACCCUCUUUCUUUUACCCUAAUUAGUAUAUAAUUAAGAAUAAAAUAUGGCAAUAAUACCCCACUAAUUAACUUAAGUUUACCUCUUUUAACCCCCAAGAAUUUGAGUUAUUAAUAUAAACCCACGAAAUAUAUAAUUAUAGCAGGAAUAGUCCAAAACGCCCCUUUAAAACUUAACCAGAAAUUCGACUCCAACUGGGAUUACGCAAGCUGUGACGGGCCGUCGCGCCUGCGACGGUCCGUCUUGCUGUCCGUCGCAUAGUUCAGAAACUUGAUUUUGGGUGAAUGGCCUGUGACGGUCCGUCCUGCCACUCCGUUGCGAAGUUCAGAGAGUCGAUUUUCAGUACCCAAUUUCAGAUUUUCUAAGUGUUUUAAAAUGAGACCCUGCGACGGUCCGUCCUGCCCAUGACGGUCCGUCGUUGGGUCCGUCGCCUCAGCCUGUUUUUCCAGAAUAAAAUCUGCUGCUCAAAACGACUAAACAGGUCGUUACAGAGAUAAAUAGGUUUUUACCGGUGUUGCCGACCUUGUUAAAGAAGAGUGUCGUACGACCAUGAUCCACAAAGAUAUAAACUUUUCUAGGCUUAUAGUGCAUGCCGAAUUCAUAAAGAACAAAGAAAGAAAAUAAAAAUAAAAUCACAUUAUACAAGUUAUAAUAUUGAUUCUGCACAAGAUAGAAAAUAUGCAGAAUUAAGGCCAACAUGACAGAGAGUGCUGGCAGCCAGUCCCAACAAAUGAACAAACUAAAGAUUUCUUAACAUUCACCAUUUUGAGAGAAUCAUCUUGAAUUCAUGCUAUGAACAAGAUCUUAUUUUAAAACAACAAUCGAUAUUUAUCCAAAUCAAUGCUUAUAAGACAGGUUAAGGAAACCAAUUUUUGAUAAAAACAUAGUUAAAUUCUAAUACAGAAGACAACAAAUUAAGGCAGAAAACAACAACUAUAUAACAUGGAUUUCGAAGUCGAAUAAGAAUAACAAUAUCUAGAAUCACAUAUAUGUACAUAUUUAUGAGCUCAACUAAGUAAAGAAUCAGAUUCAUAUCUUAAGAAAACAACCAUCAAUGAAGCAAAAUAUUUAAUAAACUCAUUCAAAGUUGACUUAACUAAGAGAUCAGGAUAAUGAAAACUUUUGGUGCUAAUCACAUAAACAUCACCCUUAUUUUAACUAAUCACAUUGAAUCUAAAAGAUGAUUAACAAUACUAUGACAAAUAACAAUUCUACAAUGUAACACAAAGAAAAGGUUGAAGAAAAGACUGAAGAAAGAGCAAGAAGAUUACAUGGUUUUGGGAAGCAAAUUGGGCGAAUGCGUUCGGCAGAGACGAUUUCACCACCGCCUCAACUCUCAACUCGAAUAACCACAAAAGCCGAAAUUUUGAAAUAUUGAGAUAAGAAUUCCCAAAACUUUUAGGUAUACAGUGAAGAGAAUCCUAUUUGUAAGGGGAAAAGGGGAAGAAAAAGGGGUCUAAAUCAAAUGGGAGAAUUCCAAAUUCAAAAUUCUCUAAAGAUAAGGCUUUGAUAGCUACAACCAUACCAAUUUCAAAAGACUGAGGACGUGAGCCCACUGAUUUAGGGCAAGGACGACGAGGCAUCAAGAUUGAGACACCUGGCCUUGUUAUCGAACGUUCCUCAUACGAGAAGAUAAGGGAGAGCAGAGCAAGUCACGCGAUGCUUGGAGGUCGCGAUUACACAGGGUUUCGAUUUGGGUUUGCAGCGCGUUGAAGAAGACAAAGAACGAAUAGAAGGUCGCGUAUGUACUGGUUGUAUUGUACACGCCUGUUUUGCUGGAUUUGGAACGGGUUAGGUCGAUGGCCUUGGUCCAGAUUUGGGUCUGUCUGGGCUUAUCAAGUUGAAGUCCAAUUGGAUUCAAAGAGAACAUGCCCUUGGUCUCGAAAAU
This 12277-nucleotide long non-coding RNA is filed under the name Solanum lycopersicum (tomato). RNAcentral describes it as "long non-coding RNA (SLYC_LNC001304)". Lineage: Eukaryota; Viridiplantae; Streptophyta; Magnoliopsida; Solanales; Solanaceae. The record is from RNAcentral.